GCACUCGCCUCAGCAGCACACAUACUAAAAUUGGAACGAUACAGAGAAGAUUAGCGCAGCCAAAAAGAAAAUUCUUAUCAUAAGAAUUUACUAACUUUA
RNAcentral lists this small nuclear RNA (99 nucleotides) under Propithecus coquereli (Coquerel's sifaka). Lineage: Eukaryota; Metazoa; Chordata; Mammalia; Primates; Indriidae. The record is from RNAcentral.